RNAcentral lists this ribosomal RNA (249 nucleotides) under uncultured bacterium. Its description in RNAcentral is "partial 16S ribosomal RNA". It matches the Rfam family "Bacterial small subunit ribosomal RNA", at positions 57 to 305 of the family's 1533-position model. The record is from RNAcentral.
GCAAGUCGAGCGACGGACCCACUUCGGUGGGGGACCGAGCGGCAAACGGGUGAGUAACACACUGGUAACCUACCUUCGAGACAGGGACAACUCAGAGAAAUCUGAGCUAAUACCUGAUAGUCAUGGGGGGUCAUAAGACAUUCCCAUGUAAACCUCCGGGGCUUGAAGAGGGGCCUAUGGCUGAUUAGUUUGUUGGUAAGGUAAUAGCUUACCAAGACUAUGAUCAGUAGCAGGCGUGAGAGCGUGACC